Molecule: ribosomal RNA, 468 nt
Filed under: uncultured bacterium
Lineage: Bacteria
Description: partial 16S ribosomal RNA
Rfam family: Bacterial small subunit ribosomal RNA
Source: RNAcentral
GACGAACGCUGGCGGCGUGCUUAACACAUGCAAGUCGAACGGAAAGGCCCUGCUUUUGUGGGGUGCUCGAGUGGCGAACGGGUGAGUAACACGUGAGUAACCUGCCCUUGACUUUGGGAUAACUUCAGGAAACUGGGGCUAUUACCGGCUAGGAGCUCCUGCUGCAUGGUGGGGGUUGGAAAGUUUCGGCGGUUGGGGAUGGACUCGCGGCUCAUCAGCUUGUUGGUGGGGUAGUGGCUUACCAAGGCUUUGACGGGUAGCCGGCCUGAGAGGGUGACCGGCCACAUUGGGACUGAGAUACGGCCCAGACUCCUACGGGAGGCAGCAGUGGGGAAUAUUGCACAAUGGGCGGAAGCCUGAUGCAGCAACGCCGCGUGCGGGAUGACGGCCUUCGGGGUGUGGACCGCUUUCGCGUGUGACGAAGCGUGAGUGACGGUAAUGGGUAAAGAAGCACCGGCUAACUACGUG